AAGUCGUAACAAGGUUUCCGUAGGUGAACCUGCGGAAGGAUCAUUACAGGUGUGGGGAGAGUGGGGGGAGAGUGGGGAUGCGUGGAAAUGGGCGGGGAGGGGCAUGGCAUGCACAGAAUGCACAAUGCAUCUAUGCAAUCAGAUGCACCCUCUCUGCCGGUGACACACUCGACACAGUCUAUACAUACAGGCACAACUUAUAACAAUGGAUCUCUGGGCUCCU
RNAcentral lists this unclassified non-coding RNA (223 nucleotides) under fungal sp. RNAcentral describes it as "partial internal transcribed spacer region". The stretch from base 1 to 46 matches the Rfam family "Eukaryotic small subunit ribosomal RNA", at positions 1786 to 1831 of the family's 1831-position model. Lineage: Eukaryota; Fungi. The record is from RNAcentral.